AAGACUAGGAAUAGCUGUACUUUGUGUAUAAAAAGAACUUUUCGUCUAAGUGAAAAGACUUAGAUAACAAAGGAAGACGAAAAGACCCCGCGGAACUUUACCUUUUCUUAAACUUCUGUCUACAAACUUAAAGGUUUAAUAG
RNAcentral lists this ribosomal RNA (142 nucleotides) under Nodularia douglasiae biwae. RNAcentral describes it as "partial 16S ribosomal RNA". The record is from RNAcentral. Lineage: Eukaryota; Metazoa; Mollusca; Bivalvia; Unionida; Unionidae.